UCUAAUUAAGUGUAUACGCACAUUGACUUUUCACGUCAAAAGAGCACUACUGCAUUUAGUU
RNAcentral lists this transfer RNA (61 nucleotides) under Utterbackia imbecillis (paper pondshell). RNAcentral describes it as "tRNA-Glu". Lineage: Eukaryota; Metazoa; Mollusca; Bivalvia; Unionida; Unionidae. The record is from RNAcentral.